Molecule: ribosomal RNA, 450 nt
Filed under: uncultured bacterium
Lineage: Bacteria
Description: partial 16S ribosomal RNA
Rfam family: Bacterial small subunit ribosomal RNA
Source: RNAcentral
CCUACGGGUGGCUGCAGUAAGGAAUAUUGGACAAUGGCGGAGACGCUGAUCCAGCUAUCCCGCGUGCAGGAUGACGGCCCUACGGGUUGUAAACUGCUUUAGACUGGGGCGAAAAAGUGGGAUUUAUCCUACAUUGACGGUACCAGUAAAAUAAGCACCGGCUAACUCCGUGCCAGCAGCCGCGGUAAUACGGAGGGUGCAAGCGUCAUCCGGAAUCACGGGGGAGAAAGCGUGUGUAGAAGUCUUGAUAGAAAGGCCAUGGCUCAACUAUGGGAUUGCUUUUGAUACUGGCGAGCUUGGAUUAGGACGAGGUUGGCGGAAUGUGGCAAGUAGCGGUGAAAUGCAUAGAUAUGCCAUAGAAUACCGAUUGCGAAGGCAGCUGACUAGACCUAUAUUGACGCUGAGGCACGAAAGCGUGGGGAGCGAACAGGAUUAGAUACCCCGGUAGUC